GCUAGGGGGGGAAAGCUCGGCAAAGGGAAAAGGCUUAAGCCCUUUAUCCAGAGGUUCAAAUCCUCUCCCUAGCU
RNAcentral lists this transfer RNA (74 nucleotides) under Gallus gallus (chicken). Its description in RNAcentral is "tRNA-Leu". It matches the Rfam family "tRNA". From Rfam's summary of the family: Transfer RNA (tRNA) molecules are approximately 80 nucleotides in length. The record is from RNAcentral. Lineage: Eukaryota; Metazoa; Chordata; Aves; Galliformes; Phasianidae.